This is a non-coding RNA of Oncorhynchus mykiss (rainbow trout), 765 nucleotides long. The record is from RefSeq and is a predicted model, not a curated record. Lineage: Eukaryota; Metazoa; Chordata; Actinopteri; Salmoniformes; Salmonidae.
UAUCUGGGAGUUGUUCCGUAGUGAUUAGGUUGUUAUCAGUGUACUGGUAUACGUAGGACACGUGACAUCCCAACACUAUCUGGGAGUUGUUCCGUAGUGAUUAGGUUGUGGCAUCCCAACACUAUCUGGGAGUUGUUCCGUAGUGAUUAGGUUGUGGCAUCCCAACACUAUCUGGGAGUUGUUCCGUAGUGAUUAGGUUGUUAUCAGUGUACUGAUAUACGUAGGACACGUGACAUCCCAACACUAUCUGGGAGUUGUUCCGUAGUGAUUAGGUUGUUAUGAGUGUACUGGUAUACGUAGGACACGUGGCAUCCCAACACUAUCUGGGAGUUGUUCCGUAGUGAUUAGGUUGUGGCAUCCCAACACUAUCUGGGAGUUGUUCUGUAGUGAUUAGGUUGUGACAUCCCAACACUAUCUGGGAGUUGUUCCGUAGUGAUUAGGUUGUUAUCAGUGUACUGAUAUACGUAGGACACGUGACAUCCCAACACUAUCUGGGAGUUGUUCCGUAGUGAUUAGGUUGUGGCAUCCCAACACUAUCUGGGAGUUGUUCUGUAGUGAUUAGGUUGUUAUCAGUGUACUGAUAUACGUAGGACACGUGACAUCCCAACACUAUCUGGGAGUUGUUCCGUAGUGAUUAGGUUGUUAUCAGUGUACUGAUAUACGUAGGACACGUGGCAUCCCAACACUAUCUGGGAGUUGUUCCGUAGUGAUUAGGUUGUUAUCAGUGUACUGAUAUACGUAGGACACGUGACAUCCCAACACUAU